Macaca fascicularis (crab-eating macaque) is the source of this 162-nucleotide unclassified non-coding RNA. It matches the Rfam family "Metazoan signal recognition particle RNA". Rfam says of the family: The signal recognition particle (SRP) is a universally conserved ribonucleoprotein. It is involved in the co-translational targeting of proteins to membranes. Lineage: Eukaryota; Metazoa; Chordata; Mammalia; Primates; Cercopithecidae. The record is from Ensembl.
GCUAGAUGUGGUGGCGCACACCUGUAGUCCCAGCUGCCCGGGAGGCUGAGGUGGGGGAAUCUCUUGAGCGCAGGAGUUUGAGGAUGCAGUGAGCUAUGGUAAGUGUGCCUGUGAAAAGUCACUGAGCUCCAGCCUGGGCCACAUAGUGAGACUCCAUCUCAA